AGUCCGGGGCUAGGGACUGGGGGAGUUUAGACAAGAAAGCACAGAAGAAGCCCCAGGAAGUGAUGGGAGUAGGAGACAGACAAAGAGGGUGUUUGAGAAAUGUUUCUAUAGGCAAAGUAUCUCCUGCAUGGGACUAAAGAGACAUAAAGGACGGGAGCAAUUUUUGAAAAUACAAGUGGAUGCUAGACUGCGUUUCUUUGAACAUCACAUCAGCCUGAGACCAGCCCACAUGAAUCAUGGCUUCAAAGGGGUGACAGGUUAAUCUGGCAGCAGAACUUAUGGAGGAUGAUCAGAAAGAGUAGAAGAAAUAUAGAGGUGAAGGGAUCAUUGGAAUAGACUUGGACUUGGGGACUGAAUCACUGCAGAGGGAUAAAGAAGGAGGAAGAGUCCCAGGUUUCAGUGCAGAAUAGUCACAUAGGGGAUGGGAGAUGAGACUCAGCUUGGAUGCCUUCACCUCUUUGUAGAGGUUGUCCAGAGCACCGUGUUGAAAAACAUUACGAGGUCAAUCUGGGAAAAUGUUAUGGCCAAAUGGAGAUCUUUGCCAUGAGCUGCGGAGCUAGCUCUGCCUUUAUUGACCCUGAACUUAGGGAAUAACAGCAUUGUUGACGGCAUUGAUGGCUUAAGGACAUCAGCAUGGAAGCUGGGUUUCUGGAAGAGAGAAUGAACUUGGCUGAAACUGAAGCAAUGCACACCGCUUUUGCUAUUUGUUUUUGUUUUGUUUUUUUCUUUUUUUCCACCAUCGAUGCAUUUUAAAGUUCCCAGAUUUGUACUCCAGUACCAACAGGAAUGAAGCAUCGCAGUGUACCCCUGAAGCAGCCUCAUCUGUUUACAGAAAACCUUGGGUGCCUUCUGAAGAGGAGGUUGUAGACUGACUCUCAGAAAUGGCAUAUGACCAAAUGGACAGCUGACAUCUAAGUAUUUAUCCUGGACAGCUGUUCUCCCUGUGCUCUGCACUGAAAUUUACCCUGAAGUUUUUCUAGGUGUAGACAAAGAUUGGAUGGUACGUUUUACGAAGUGUUACUCAAUUGUGAGUAUGAAGAGCAAUCAUUUAAUUCUCAAAGUUGCUCAAACAACAAAGGCAUCUCCACUCUGAACUGUGAGCUCCAACAGGGCUAGGACCUCUGCUAUAUCCCCAGGCCCCAGUAGAGUCUGUAGUACACUAGGCAACACCUGAUUGCUAACUGCAGGAAUGAAUCAGUGUCUUUUUUUGUUUCCUCUUUCUUCUGCUCAAGGAGCCCCAAAGUUGUGCUUAACAGUAUUUAAGUACAUUGUUCUCAAUAGAAGUCUACCUGGGCUGUGGGCCAGAACAAAUUUUAUUACUAUUGUGGCAAAUACAUUUUCUAACUCAAAUUAGCAAAUAUUUUUGAGCACCUACUGUGUUCAUAUCCUUAUUGAACUAUUCCACCUCUAGAAAUGUAUCCUACAGAUGUACCUGCUCAUAUGCACUUGUGUAAAGGGUAUGACUUGGUCCAUUUUGUGCUGCAAUGACUGAAUAUCACAGAUUGGGUAAUAUAUAAUAAACAGAUUAUUAUUAUUA
Long non-coding RNA from Homo sapiens (human), 1537 nucleotides. NCBI's taxonomy places the organism in Eukaryota, Metazoa, Chordata, Mammalia, Primates, Hominidae. The record is from Ensembl.